GACGAACGCUGGCGGCGUGCCUAACACAUGCAAGUCAACUUGACUGAAGGAGCAAUCUGACAGUAGAGUGGCGCAAGGGUGCGUAACGCGUAAGUAACUUGCCCCAAGGUAAGGAAUAACGCCGAGAAAUCGGCGCUAAUACCUCAUAAUGCAGCGGAUCCGCAUGGAUAUGUUGUUAAAGGUUUACCGCCUUGGGAUAGGCUUGCGUCUGAUUAGCUAGUUGGUGUGGUAAACGGCACACCAAGGGCUACGAUCAGUAACUGGUCUGAGAGGAUGAUCAGUCACACUGGAA
Molecule: ribosomal RNA, 292 nt
Filed under: uncultured bacterium
Lineage: Bacteria
Description: partial 16S ribosomal RNA
Rfam family: Bacterial small subunit ribosomal RNA
Source: RNAcentral